UCCGGUUUGACACCGGCAGUCCCGCUAGAGUCCCCAGCAUAACCUGAUGGUAACUAGCGGCAAGGGUUUCGCUCGUUAAGGGACUUAACCCAACACUUCACAGCACGAGCUGACGACAGCCAUGCAGCACCUGUGCACGUUCCAGGGUAAACCCUGUCAUUCCCUUUUCAGGGAACUAAUCCGUGCAUGUCAAGCCCAGGAUAAGGUUCUUCGCGUUGCUUCGAAUUGAGCCACAUGCUCCACCGCUUGUGUGAGCCCCCGUCAAUUCCUUUGAGUUUUAGCCUUGCGACCGUACUCCCCAGGCGGUGCACUUAAUGAUUUUUCUUCGAUCCGGAGGGUGUCAGAACCUUCCAAAUCUAGUGCACAUCGUUUACGGCGUGGACUAC
Molecule: unclassified non-coding RNA, 386 nt
Filed under: uncultured Phycisphaeraceae bacterium
Lineage: Bacteria; Pseudomonadati; Planctomycetota; Phycisphaerae; Phycisphaerales; Phycisphaeraceae
Description: contains 16S-23S intergenic spacer region
Source: RNAcentral